GGGUGUAACUAAAUUUCAAAUGAAUCAGUUUCUCGUCGAUAAAAGUAAGAGUGAGCAACGGCCUUUUAAGCCGUGGGUCGCAGGUUCGAUCCCUGCUGCACUCA
RNAcentral lists this transfer RNA (104 nucleotides) under bacterium. Its description in RNAcentral is "tRNA-OTHER". The stretch from base 49 to 104 matches the Rfam family "tRNA". From Rfam's summary of the family: Transfer RNA (tRNA) molecules are approximately 80 nucleotides in length. Their secondary structure includes four short double-helical elements and three loops (D, anti-codon, and T loops). The record is from RNAcentral.